AUUCCAGCUCCAAUAGCGUAUAUUAAUGUUGUUGCAGUUAAAAAGCUCGUAGUUGGAUCUCUAACGCACGCGGCCGGUCCGCCCCUCACGGGGUGUGCACUGCGCCGUCGUGCGUUAUCCUGGGGGAGAGCGUCCCGCGCAUUAGGUUGUGUGGGUCGGGAUCCUCCACGUUUACUCAAAAUAAAUAAGAGUGUUCAAAGCAGGCGAUUGCUGUGAAUUCUUCAGUUGGGAAUAAUAAGAUAGGACUCGGGGACUAUUUUGUUGGUUUGCAUCUCCGAGUAAUGAUUAAUAGGGACAGUUGGAGAUAUUCAUAUUCAGUUGUCAGAGGUGAAAUUCUUGGAUUUACGGAAGAUGAACUACUGCGAAAGCAUUUAUCGAGGAUGUUUUCAUCA
This 392-nucleotide ribosomal RNA is filed under the name Labyrinthulaceae sp. RNAcentral describes it as "partial small subunit ribosomal RNA". It matches the Rfam family "Eukaryotic small subunit ribosomal RNA", at positions 582 to 975 of the family's 1831-position model. Lineage: Eukaryota; Bigyra; Labyrinthulida; Labyrinthulaceae. The record is from RNAcentral.